CUCGUCCUCGGGCAUGGCAUCUUCCUCGCCGCCGCGCCGCGACUGGGCCGCCACCGAGGAUAGAGAUCGGAUCCGUCGCAGCGUCCUCCGAUGACGUCGCUUCCUUCCUCCGCGGUCCGCCGGCCUGGCUCCCGGCUCCCGACUCCUCCCCGACGUUGCCGAAUUUUGCACACGAGGAAAACCCGCCCAAGAGAUGGGCUCUCUUCUCCUGAGGAUGAUUGAAGCACGUGAGCCCCGCUGAAAUGCAGCGGCAUGAAUCAUGACAACUGGACGUCUCUUUCAGCAGCACUUGAGCCUCGAUAGGAACAAUUUUAUCGUCCAUUGCUCACUGUCAGCCGAAGCUUGAAACCGAAAUACGGCCGGAUUGUGGAAGCGAACUAUAAACGGAGCAUCAAAACCCCUCGUUAUGAACGCCCUUAAUUUAUGGGGUAAUAUAAUGCACUUUUCCUU
Bemisia tabaci is the source of this 450-nucleotide non-coding RNA. Lineage: Eukaryota; Metazoa; Arthropoda; Insecta; Hemiptera; Aleyrodidae. The record is from RefSeq and is a predicted model, not a curated record.